Long non-coding RNA from Oncorhynchus kisutch (coho salmon), 2254 nucleotides. RefSeq lists it as uncharacterized. The record is from RefSeq and is a predicted model, not a curated record. The transcript is spliced from 3 exons. Lineage: Eukaryota; Metazoa; Chordata; Actinopteri; Salmoniformes; Salmonidae.
CCUCCCCCGUUUUCCUCCGUGAAAUGCAGUAAUUGCAUACAUUUCUGCCUGUCUCUAAAGCAUAAAUGGAUUUAUACUAUAGUAUUGGUGCAGUAAUGCAAGAUAUUGGAUUACAUAUGUCAGAAAACGAACUAGUAGCCAGUUGUUGUUGCCCAUGGUGAAAUAAUAUCAAACCCACAGACUCCUGAAGCACAUAUGUCCCACACGAACUCCCGAGUCUAGUUAGCAUUUCGCUACCUAGCUAGGCUGUUUUAUGACAAAACGGAUGAUCUGAAUCAAACACUAACGUUAGUUAGCCAUCCUCGGCGACAAUGUUAUUGUGGCGCAGGAAAUUCAUAUUUGUGUUUUAACUUUAUGUUAACUGUCAUUGAAGUUGAUGCUUACUAUUAGGUUUCAGAUUCGAAGUAAGAUCAAUUGCCCGUUAUGUUUUGUGUUUCGUUAAGGACUCAGAGUGCCCUUCUUACGGAAGGAAAUGUCGACUCCCGGAACACUUAAAACAAAGUAACUGUACUACUGUAGCCAACACUCUUAUUUUCUAAGACAAGUGAAGAAACGCGUAGUUUCCACAAUGGAUCCGGCAAAUAUACUUGUAAUGGAGUCCAGACGGCAGCAUUAACAUUUGCCUUGUAUUUGUAUCCAUUCCAUGCAGUCAUUACUAGAGAGACAACCGGCAGAAUUGUGUCCAGAGCCUCGUCUCCCACCUACACCUUACAAGAACACAAUGCAGAACGGUACCAGUGCAGAGCCGGUUACAUUGGUGCCGUGAUCCGGAUCAACGUGGAUCAUUAUGAAUCGCCGUUGAUCAACACCUUCUUGGUCACCGGGAGUUGCUAUGCUAUAAAUAGCGGUCAGCUCUACCUGUAGCUCUCUCAGUGGGAGGGGCUUAUCAUAAGGGGAGCCUCAACAACAACAUGAUGCUGACAAGUCGUCUCUCCAGAAGAGUCUCUCCAGAUCAGAACGUCUCAAUGAACACCAGCAAAGACUUAUAGGAAGAAACCUCACCACCGCUGCUCUGACUGUGGGAAAAGUUUUGCUAAACAGAGAAAAUUGGUCAUUUACCAGUGGAUUCAUGCUGGAGGGAAGCCUUAUAGUUGUGAUCAGUGUGGGAAGAGUUUUGCUUGAGAUUUCACCGUGACCAAACACCGACUUAUACACACAGGAGAGAGGCCUUAUAGCUGUAAUCAGUGUGGGAAGAGCUUUAAUCAAUCAGCAGCCCUGAGCACACACCAACGCAUACACACUGGAGAGAGACAGGAGUAAGGUGUAUGUGGAAAGAGCUUUGCUCAAUUGGGGUCACUGAAAAAAACACCAGAAAGCACAAACAUGUUUUCUUUCAUCCCUCCUCUUAGGCACCUGUUCAAUAUAUCUAAAUACAGUUUGAACAGAAAACAUAUUGGAAAGAGUCAGCUCUGGAACCAUAUGUAAUCAAGCUUCUUGGAGUAGGAGUGGUGUGUGUGUGUGUGGUGGGGUGGGGAUGUUCAGAGCUGUAUCUUACUUCAAUAACUCCUAUUAUCUAUUAAUGAAUUGUAUAAUGUUUCAACAAUACAAGGUGUGUAUUCAUGUAUUCAAUAGAUCAAUAAAUAUAUUCCAUUAUCUGCUCAACAACGUCUGCUUAUGACAUUAAUUAUGUGUUUUAAAAAAAUCGAAUAAUCCAUUUUUAAAAGGACCAUAGUCUUCUUGUAUAAUUAGUUUGCUCCUAAAAGAUGUUCACAUAUUUAUUUUAAAACCUUUCACCAGGUUUUAGUGUAGCUGAUGGGACACAUAGAAGUACAGAAGAUAUAGGACUAUUAGUGUUGUCAAAUUAAGUUGUUGAAUUUAUUUUAAAGGAUUUAAUUUGUGAUAUCUUUGAACUUUCCUUAUUGUGUAUUAAGUGUGCUCCAGAAAGAUGUUCACACAUUUUAUUGUGAAUCGAAUGAUGUGUUGGUUGUUAGGAAGAGGCAUCAUGGGGGCAGGAAGCCAGCUCUGCCCAUCAGUACCUGUAGGUCAACCACAGACCUCACACUCUUCUGUUUCCUCGCGGCCAGUAAGGUCUCCUACCAAACCUCUCUCUCUUCACACUGGAAAUACACUUGAUAAUAUCUUAUACCUCACCAUUCUACUGUUUAUUGGUGAUUUGUUAUGUGGAACGAAUGCUUGCAUGUAAAUGUCAUUGUAAAACAUACAUAUGAAUGUGGUUUCAUGUUUUCUUUUACAUUGCUGAUUGGAUAUACAUUUUUUUUUUAAAUGUUUAGUUGAAUUCUGUAGAAGAGACCAG